This 468-nucleotide ribosomal RNA is filed under the name uncultured bacterium. Its description in RNAcentral is "partial 16S ribosomal RNA". It matches the Rfam family "Bacterial small subunit ribosomal RNA", at positions 28 to 507 of the family's 1533-position model. The record is from RNAcentral.
GACGAACGCUGGCGGCGUGCUUAACACAUGCAAGUCGAACGGAAAGGCCCUGCUUUUGUGGGGUGCUCGAGUGGCGAACGGGUGAGUAACACGUGAGUAACCUGCCCUUGACUUUGGGAUAACUUCAGGAAACUGGGGCUAAUACCGGAUAGGAGCUCCUGCUGCAUGGUGGGGGUUGGAAAGUUUCGGCGGUUGGGGAUGGACUCGCGGCUUAUCAGCUUGUUGGUGGGGUAGUGGCUUACCAAGGCUUUGACGGGUAGCCGGCCUGAGAGGGUGACCGGCCACAUUGGGACUGAGGUGCGGGCCAGACUCCUACGGGAGGCAGCAGUGGGGAAUAUUGCACAAUGGGCGGAAGCCUGAUGCAGCAACGCCGCGUGCGGGAUGACGGCCUUCGGGUUGUAAACCGCUUUCGCCUGUGACGAAGCGUGAGUGACGGUAAUGGGUAAAGAAGCACCGGCUAACUACGUG